CUCAGGACCGAAUGGAUUCCAAUCUAUUUGCUGCAUGACCCUCAUUCCUGUUGUGCCUUAAAUAAAGCCAGAUGUCAUUUGCGGCAGGAUCGUUCCAUCAGCCGACAGACGUGGCUCUUCCCCUGAUACUCUCCAUUGCAGGAGAUGAGUGACGCUUUGAGAAUCAAAAUCAGAUUUCUGCUGAUGUGAAGGUUUGGCCUGCUGGCCGUGGCCAAAUCAGACUCCACAGAAACGGGGUCAAAGGCUAUGAAGGAGCACGAAGCCAUUAAAGACCAGACACAAAACGGAGAAACCGGUCCUCCCUCGUCUCCCUGAGGUCCACUCUGUCACACAUCUUCAAGGUGGCACACACAGCCACGUUCCAGAAACCACCGCCAGAGCUAUUAAUAGAACGGCCAUGCCUGGGAAAUUCUGCAGAAUUUGCUUGAAUCUACGGAGCAGUCACUCUGCUAACGAGGUGGUACUGGAGAAAGGCACCGAGUUCCUGCCGGCACGGGGGCCGCCCGCACAGCUUUCAGAGCGCAGGACGGGUUAACCUCUCCUAAAUGCGACAGGCACCGGCGCCUGGGCAGCUGUCUGCAAUACAGACGCAACGCCGUUUGGUCAUUUUUCAAUGACCGCGACCUAACGAAGGUUUCCUCCGGCUCUUCUCCUCCCUCUUUUCUCUAUGCAUCAAACUUGCUGCAGCCAUUUGGAACGUAAAAGAGCAGCCUAUUUCAGCACCAUCAUCUGCCUGCCUCCUGC
This 744-nucleotide long non-coding RNA is filed under the name Suricata suricatta (meerkat). RNAcentral's name for it is "lncRNA (ENSSSUG00005005955.1)". Lineage: Eukaryota; Metazoa; Chordata; Mammalia; Carnivora; Herpestidae. The record is from RNAcentral.